RNAcentral lists this ribosomal RNA (441 nucleotides) under uncultured Streptococcus sp. RNAcentral's name for it is "bacterial SSU rRNA". It matches the Rfam family "Bacterial small subunit ribosomal RNA", at positions 349 to 782 of the family's 1533-position model. The record is from RNAcentral. Lineage: Bacteria; Bacillati; Bacillota; Bacilli; Lactobacillales; Streptococcaceae.
CAGCAGUAGGGAAUCUUCGGCAAUGGGGGGAACCCUGACCGAGCAACGCCGCGUGAGUGAAGAAGGUUUUCGGAUCGUAAAGCUCUGUUGUUAAGGAAGAACGAGUGUGAGAAUGGAAAGUUCAUGCUGUGACGGUACUUAACCAGAAAGGGACGGCUAACUACGUGCCAGCAGCCGCGGUAAUACGUAGGUCCCGAGCGUUGUCCGGAUUUAUUGGGCGUAAAGCGAGCGCAGGCGGUUAGAAAAGUCUGAAGUGAAAGGCAGUGGCUCAACCAUUGUAGGCUUUGGAAACUGUUUAACUUGAGUGCAGAAGGGGAGAGUGGAAUUCCAUGUGUAGCGGUGAAAUGCGUAGAUAUAUGGAGGAACACCGGUGGCGAAAGCGGCUCUCUGGUCUGUAACUGACGCUGAGGCUCGAAAGCGUGGGGAGCGAACAGGAUUAGA